AGGGUGCUGUAGAAGCUUUGGCCAGGG
Molecule: non-coding RNA, 27 nt
Filed under: Cricetulus griseus (Chinese hamster)
Lineage: Eukaryota; Metazoa; Chordata; Mammalia; Rodentia; Cricetidae
Source: RNAcentral